GUCGGAUGUGAAAUCCUGGGGCUUAUCCCCGGAAGUGCAUUCGAAACUGGCAGACUUGAUUAUGGGACAGGGAAGCGGAUUUCCUGGUGUAGAGGUGACAUUCGUAGAAUGUCAGGAGGAACACCGGUGGCGAAGGUGGCUUCCUGGACCAUUACUGACCGCUCAGGUGCAAAGGCGUGGGGAGCACACAGGAUUAGAUACCCUGGUAGUCCACGCAGUAUACGGUGAACACUAGGUGUAGCGGGUAUUGACCCCUGCUGUGCCGGAGUUAGCGCAUUAAGUGUUCCGACUGGGGAGUACGUCCGCAAGGUUAUCACUCGAAGGAAUUGACGGGGGCCCGCACAAGCGCUGGAGCAUCUGGUGUAAAUCGACGCAACGCGAAGAACCUUACCUGGGUUUGACAUCCCGGGAAUCCGUAUGAAAGUAUGGAGUGCCCUUGCGGGGAGCCCGGAGACAGGUGCAUGCAUGGCUGUAGUCAGCUCGUCUCGUGAGAUGUUGGGUUAAGUCCCGCAAACGAGCGCAACCACGUUGUCACUCAGUAGCCAGCGAUUCGGUCGGGGACUCUGGAGAUACUGCCCCGGUUAACGGGGAGGAAGGUGGGGAUGACGUCAAGUCCUCAUGGCCUUUAUGCCCAGGGCUACACACGUGCUACAAUGGUCUGUACAAAGGGUGCCGAACCUGCGUAGGCAAGCCAAUCCCAAUAAGCAGGCCUCAGUUCGGAUUGGAGUCUGCAACUCGACUCCAUGAAGUUGGAAUCGCUAGUAAUCGCGGAUCAGCAUGCCGUGGUGAAUACGUUCCCGGGCCUUGUACACACCGCCCGUCACACCAUGAGAGUUG
Molecule: ribosomal RNA, 837 nt
Filed under: uncultured organism
Description: bacterial SSU rRNA
Rfam family: Bacterial small subunit ribosomal RNA
Source: RNAcentral